Ictalurus punctatus (channel catfish) is the source of this 772-nucleotide long non-coding RNA. Lineage: Eukaryota; Metazoa; Chordata; Actinopteri; Siluriformes; Ictaluridae. The record is from Ensembl.
GUAUGGUAUGUUGUUAUAAGGGGCAUAUGUAGCCCUAUGAACAUUAUACGGAAUAAUGCGUUAGCUUUAAUGUUUUAGGGGUUGUGAAAAUACUGAUUUGGCUUUGGAUACCUUUUGAAAUGGGGUUGGUGGAUGGAUAGAUAGCUGGAUAGAUGGAUAGAUAGAUGGAUGGAUAGAUGGAUAGGUAGGUAGAUGGAUGGAUAGAUAGAUAGGUAGGUAGGUAGGUAGGUAGGUAGGUAGAUGGAUGGCUGGAUAGAUAGAUGGAUAGAUAGAUGGAUGGAUGGAAGGAUAGAUGGAUGGAUAGAUAGAUGGAUGGAUAGAUAGGUAGAUGGAUGGUUGGAUAGAUAGCUGGAUAUAUGGAUGGAUGGAUGGAUGGAUGGAUAGAUAGAUAUCUAGAUGGAUGGCUGGAUAGAUAGAUGGAUGGAUGGAUAGGUAGAUCGAUAGAUAGAUAGAUAGCUGGAUAGAUGGAUAGAUAUAUGGAUAGAUGGAUGGAUAGAUAGAUAGGUAGAUGGAUGGCUGGAUAGAUAGCUGGAUAUAUGGAUGGAUGGAUGAUGGAUAGAUAGAUAGGUAGAUGGAUGGCUGGAUAGAUAGCUGGAUGACUGGAUAGAUAGCUGGAUAGAUGGAUAGAUAGAUGGAUGGAUGGCUGGAUAGAUAGCUGGAUAGAUGGAUGGAUAGAUAUAGAUAUAUGGAUAGAUAGAUGGAUGGAUACAUGGAUAGGUAGAUAGGUAGAUGGAUAGCUGGAUAGAUAGCUGGAUAUAUGGAUGGAUGGAUG